Molecule: long non-coding RNA, 1806 nt
Filed under: Homo sapiens (human)
Lineage: Eukaryota; Metazoa; Chordata; Mammalia; Primates; Hominidae
Description: non-protein coding LINC00847:25
Source: RNAcentral
CUUUUGACAGCCGUGAGCUUCCCCGCCAGGAACUUACUGGGGCUGCAUCACCCUAGAAACGUGGCUUUGGGCUGUGGAAACGCUGCCUCUGUGGAAGUCUCUCCUCGCGGGGGUGGACGGGUCGCUGCGCGCCCAGCGUUCUUCUGCGGUUCUCACAGCCCGCCGCCGCCGCCGCCUCGGGGACCUUUGCGGGGAGGCCUCAGGUACCAGUCAGGACUGGUAGACUUUAAUGUGGAGAACUUCUGAAACAGCAGUUCUCAAAAUGUUACCUCCAGACACACAGAAUCUGCAUCACCCAGGAACUUGUAACCAUGCAAAUUCUCAGCCACCCAGACUUCCUGCAUCAGAAACUCUGGGGCCCAGCAGCCUGUGUUUUAACAAAGCCCUUCAGGCUGGAGUAUAGUGGCAUGAUCAUAGAUCACUGCAGCCUCAAACUCCUGGGCUCAAGCGAUCCUCCCACCUCAGCCUCCAUAUAGCUGGUGGGGACCAAGUUUCUAACACAUGAAUGUUGGGAGACACAUUCAGACCAUCGCAGUGGCCUUAUAAAAAGAGACACAAGAGCUUGCUCUCUGCCAUGUGAGAAUACCACAAGAAGACUGUCCUCAGCAAAUCAGAAAGCGGGUGGACCCUCAUCAGACACCAGAUGUGCCUGCACCUUGAUCUUGGACUUGCCAGCCUUCAGAACAGUAAGAAAGAAAUGUGUGUUGUUUAAGCCACCCAGUCUAUGGUAACUUGCUAUAGCAGCCCACUAGGAGACCCCAAGAUAUUUAAAAACUCAUCAGCACCUGCUUUCUGCAUCUGGACCCUGAUCUUCUGGUGGGUUUACCAGUUACUUGUAGAGUGUCCCUGUGAUAGUUUUAGGUGUCAACUUGACAGGAUUGAGGGAUGCCUAGAUGGCUGGGGAAGCACUGUUUCUGAGAAGGACCAUGUUUUUGGAGGAGACUGUUUUAUGAGUGAAUUUCAGGGGACACAUUCAGAUCAUGGCAGUGGCAUUAUAAAGAGAGACACAAAAGCUUGCUCUCUCUCUCUGCCAUGUAAGACUACCACACAAAGACUGCCAUCUGCAAACCAGAAGCAGGUGGGCUUUCCUCAGACACCAGAUCUGCCUGCACCUUGAUCUUGGACUUGCCAGCCUUCAGAACUCUAAGAAAGAAAUGGUAGCAUGGCUUGGUCUAAGUUGGAAGGCCUGAGAAACAAGCACAUGGUGGAACUGAGUUCAAGGAUAAAGACUUGAGAAUACCUGCUCAGUGGACUGAGUAGGGAAGAUCAACCCUCAAUGUAGGCAGGCACUAUCCAAUCACCUGAGGGCCCAGAUGGAACAAAAAGGUGGAAGAAGGGUGAAUUCUCUCUUCCAGAGCUGUGACACCCUUCUCAUGCCCUUGUACCACACAACUCUAGGUCCUUUGGCCUUUGGACUCUGACACUUGCACCAGUGGCCCUCUGGGGCUCUCAAGCCUUUAGCCUUGAACUUAGUUACACCAUGUGCCUCCUUGUUUCUCAGGCCUUCCAACUUGGAUCAGGCCAUGCCACCGGCUUCUCUGAUUCUCCAGCUUGCAGAUGGUAUAUUGUGACCCUGGCAUUUAAUAACUAUGACUUUGGUCUUAAGCAAUUUUCUUCCUCUGUGGAUUGAUAUUUACAUAUCAAUGUGGAUAAUAAUUUCUUACCACGGUAACUGUUGUGAGGUAAAAAUGAGUUAACAUAAGUAAAACCGAGCACAUGCAAACCAUCCGAAAUGGUUAAUACUUACUAUUUGUACUUGAAGAAAUAAAUGUUUUUGACAAUAAACUUCUUGUGCAGUUUUCCUCA